GACGAACGCUGGCGGCGUGCUUAACACAUGCAAGUCGAACGAAGAGCGACGGAAGCUUGCUUCUAUCAAUCUUAGUGGCGAACGGGUGAGUAACGCGUAAUCAACCUGCCCUUCAGAGGGGGACAACAGUUGGAAACGACUGCUAAUACCGCAUACGAUCUAACCUUGGCAUCGAGGAUGGAUGAAAGGUGGCCUCUAUUUAUAAGCUAUCACUGAAGGAGGGGAUUGCGUCUGAUUAGCUAGUUGGAGGGGUAACGGCCCACCAAGGCGAUGAUCAGUAGCCGGUCUGAGAGGAUGAACGGCCACAUUGGGACUGAGACACGGCCCAGACUCCUACGGGAGGCAGCAGUGGGGAAUCUUCCGCAAUGGACGAAAGUCUGACGGAGCAACGCCGCGUGAGUGAUGACGGCUUCGGGUUGUAAAGCUCUGUUAAUCGGGACGAAAGGCUUUCUUGCGAAUAGUGAGAAGGAUUGACGGUACCGGAAUAGAAAGCCACGGCUAA
Molecule: ribosomal RNA, 502 nt
Filed under: Veillonella dispar
Lineage: Bacteria; Bacillati; Bacillota; Negativicutes; Veillonellales; Veillonellaceae
Description: bacterial SSU rRNA
Rfam family: Bacterial small subunit ribosomal RNA
Source: RNAcentral